Long non-coding RNA from Cervus elaphus (red deer), 846 nucleotides. RefSeq lists it as uncharacterized. The transcript is spliced from 3 exons. The record is from RefSeq and is a predicted model, not a curated record. NCBI's taxonomy places the organism in Eukaryota, Metazoa, Chordata, Mammalia, Artiodactyla, Cervidae.
CACAUGGGAUUUCACACAAAAAUACAUCACGCUCAAGUGAUCCAUUUUAAAGCAAAGGAAGAUUUAUUGUCCUGGAAGGAUCUGCACCUGGAUCUGCCAAUGAAAGACCUCAGCUGAUUCCUCAGGAGUUUUCAUCUCUGAAGAUGGAAGUGAACGGUGAGCCUAUCCUGCCUGAGACUGAACAGGACAUUGCAAAGAUUGUGCAAUGCAGUUUUGCCCUUUACCUGUGACGACGUGGACACUGGUGCUAUGACUCACCCACAAGAAGAUGAAAUUCCAUCAUUCCCCCUCCAUUACUCACUGGCAUUUGAGAAAUAAAGCCUGUGGCCAGGUAACUUGCUGGAUGAACCUCAGAACCUUAGAAUUCUCUGAACAAGUGAGACAACCAAUCCUAAAUGGCAAAUAGCUUUUAAAAAUGGAAAUGAAAAUGCCCAGGCAAGUAGUUCAUUGCAGGGGCCCCUUUCUUAGAUGAACUAUCACAGGGGCAUAAGGAAACAGGAAAGAUCAAUUGUAUAUAAAUCUAUAAAAAUGUUAAUGAGCUGAUUAGCUCAGAGAAACAUUCUAUUUGUCUCUUAAACAAAAUUGAUUGCUUCAAAGACCUUGUCUGUGCAGACUGGAAAAGAAAAAAAAAGCUUCAACUGUAUAAAAGUUCUCUUGCACCUUCAGAAAAAAUUAAAAUACGUACCUGCAUAUUUUGGGUUUCUACACUACCUUUCUUCUGAAGGGCAUAAAGUACCUGUAUAAUCAAUUGUCUCUGCAAUGUCCUCAGGAGAUAUGAGGGGGAAUUAAAGGGGAAGCUGAAUGACAGAGACAGUCAGUGAAGAGACAGUCCACAGUCAUCAAAGU